This 151-nucleotide long non-coding RNA is filed under the name Serinus canaria (Common canary). Its description in RNAcentral is "lncRNA (ENSSCAG00000000011.1)". Lineage: Eukaryota; Metazoa; Chordata; Aves; Passeriformes; Fringillidae. The record is from RNAcentral.
CCCUUUAGGAGAGCUUACUUUGCGGUUUGCAGCGCUCUCGUGCAGGUCUCGUUGUUGCCCUGUAUCAGAAAAACCUGCCACUGAAUGUGCCUACAGGAAAAUGCAUAAGUAUUCAAGAAAAUUAUAUAAGUUGAAAUGUAAAAAUGAAUAA